Molecule: unclassified non-coding RNA, 373 nt
Filed under: uncultured bacterium
Lineage: Bacteria
Description: contains 16S-23S intergenic spacer region
Source: RNAcentral
UCCCACUUAACGUAGGCAGUCUGCUGUGAAAAACAACACAGCACGAGGGUUGCGCUCGUUUCCGGACUUAACCGUACAUCUCACGACACGAGCUGACGACAACCAUGCAGCACCUGUACUAGAUUCCCAUUAAAGGGUCGUCGACGUUUCUGCCGACUACAUCUAGCAUGUCAAGCCCUGGUAAGGUUCCUCGCUUACCGUCGAAUUAAACCACAUGCUCCACCGCUUGUGCGGGUCCCCGUCAAUUCCUUUGAGUUUUAGCCUUGCGGCCGUACUUCCCAGGCGGGAUACUUAAGGUGUUAACUUAGGUAGACGACACUGGAAGGGUCGAUACUUCCAAUGUCCAGUAUCCAUCGUUUAGGGCGUAGACUAC